Molecule: long non-coding RNA, 1257 nt
Organism: Coffea arabica (coffee)
Lineage: Eukaryota; Viridiplantae; Streptophyta; Magnoliopsida; Gentianales; Rubiaceae
Source: RefSeq, a predicted model, not a curated record
UAAUAGCAGUACUUUGUUAGCUGAAGUGCAGAAAAGAAAAAUGGCAAAAUACACAUCAUUAUCUCCUCCGUUUCUUUCCCCCAAUCCCAAGCAUUCCCUCUUUCGUUCUCUUUCUAAAAUCUUAAUUGAACAGUGACAAUCAAUGAGUCACUCUCUCUCUCUCUCUCUCUCUCUCUCUCUCUCUCUCUAUUUGCUAGCCUUCUCCUCCAUCGGCCUUGAAGACAAAAUUUGCUAGAUUAAUACCUAGCUAUGGCUAAAUCCCAAUCUCGUCAUGGAUUUUCCUCAGUUACGAUCAAUUUCAGCAACAUUUUCGAGAAAUUCACCGUAAAUUUUGUUCAUUUUCAGGUCGUCGUUCGUGAAGUGAAGGCAUGGGAUCGACCGAGCGCGACUCAUUUCUCCGAGUAAUUUUGUUCUACACCGGAUGAAACCCUAGCUUUGCUCUUGAGAGAAAUUGCUGCAGAAUUUUCUUCGAGUCUUUGUCGGAGCUCUGUCGAUCUAAAUAUGAGGUUGUUGCAAAACAAUAGCAUUUCAGGUCAUAUUCCUCUAGAAAUGGUACCUGUUGUAUCUCAGGGUCUUUGAAAGAAGUAGCAUGGAAUCUGAAAUUUUUGGCUUUCCAAGAAACUUUCCUUCUGGAAGACUUCUUUUCAAAGCUUGAAUGAAAAUGCGUUCUGCUCUCAUGAAGUCACUGUCACUUUCAGAAAACAAAAGCAGACAUCUCAAAAUGAAGAAAUUUCUCUGGGAAUUCCUAUUCAUUUUAAUGUCUCUGCAUUGGAAUCAGAUAUUGCAGACAUCUUCGGGGAUUUUAAGCUGCAGCACAAAAGCCUAAAGGAGAAAGUGAAGGAUUGCAACAAGAAGGAACCACCAUACAAAGAAGAAAAGGAGUAGGACUACUCGCAAAUGACUUGCUUGAGAUAGUGGAAAAGUUUCUGGAAAAUGACCAGGACUACUUGCAAAUGACUUGCUUAAAUUCUUCAUCUCUCACCUUGCAAUUUUAUGGAAUGUGGUUCCAUUGGGUUGUGGAUGAUUUUGAGACGUGAAGAUACUUUUGAGAGACGUAUGAUGAAUUUGUGCUUUUCAAGACAAGCACUUCUGGGGAUAUGUGAAAUAUCUUGUCAUUGUAAUGAACUUAUUACAUUACAAGGAAGUUCAUCCUUUUUUGUUUGCUUUUCAAAAUGAUGACAUGCGAUAAAGUUUGUAAAAUUUGACUGAAGCAAUGUAUGAUACUUUGUUCUAGUGUACUGUGGAACUUUAAUUUUA